UACGGGGGGGGCAAGCGUUGUUCGGAAUUACUGGGCGUAAAGGGCUCGUAGGUGGCCAACUAAGUCAGACGUGAAAUCCCUCAGCUUAACUGGGGAACUGCGUCUGAUACUGGAUGGCUUGAGUUUGGGAGAGGGAUGCGGAAUUCCAGGUGUAGCGGUGAAAUGCGUAGAUAUCAGGAGGAACACCGGUGGCGAAGGCGGCUACCUGGACAGAAACUGACGCUGAGGCGCGAAAGCUAGGGGAGCAAACAGG
Molecule: ribosomal RNA, 253 nt
Filed under: uncultured bacterium
Lineage: Bacteria
Description: partial 16S ribosomal RNA
Rfam family: Bacterial small subunit ribosomal RNA
Source: RNAcentral